ACGGUGAGUUAUACUACCUGCUGUGGGGGGUCUGAAAAGUUUAUUCUCAUGGCCACCACAUUGAGCCCUUGCACCACUCAGAUCUACUUCAUCACACAGGUUCAGGAGCAGCUCCUCCAUGGGUUCCAUGGGCCUUUCUUCCUGAGCAAAAAUGAGGAAGAGGGAGGCUCAACUUUCCUACAUAAUUAAGAAUUUGCAGCUUAGGCACUGCCAAAAACCACAUCUGCACUGAAAUCAAUUAUCUGUGUUUGGGGUGGACACUUUGAUAGCCUGUCAAGGAACAAGAGUGGAAGGGAAUCAUGAGCUAAAGUUUGAUUUCAGCCUUGUAAGAUCCUGAGCAGACCCAGCCAUGCAGUAGCCAUGCCGUCACCGACUUCUGACCCACAGAAACUAUGACUUCCACUAACAUAGAUGGAGGAUGUAUAGCCCAUUCCAGUGGGACACCCAGGGCCUUGCCUAUGGUGGUUGGAGUUCUGGCUUAAAUUCAGGCAGCUGAGACACAAGUGCCAUUAACUCUUGCUGAGCUCUGUGGUUUUUCCUGGAUUCUGCCACAACCACCAAAUACCUCGUCUCAUGUAGAUGCUGCCAGCAACUCCACUGGGUAGUAGUCAUCCAAAAGGCAUCACUCCUGCUAUGUCUGCCAUCUUCUGCUCAUCAUACUUCCGAUAGACUGAGGGUUUUUACUAUGGUAUGGUUAUGUUGUCCCAUUUUCAAUGGAGAAGUGGGGUUAGCAGUAUCUAAUAAAGUAAGUAUAAUAAUAAUGGCUAAAAUAUA
Long non-coding RNA from Panthera uncia (snow leopard), 774 nucleotides. RefSeq lists it as uncharacterized. The record is from RefSeq and is a predicted model, not a curated record. The transcript is spliced from 6 exons. NCBI's taxonomy places the organism in Eukaryota, Metazoa, Chordata, Mammalia, Carnivora, Felidae.